This 497-nucleotide ribosomal RNA is filed under the name uncultured bacterium. RNAcentral describes it as "partial 16S ribosomal RNA". It matches the Rfam family "Bacterial small subunit ribosomal RNA", at positions 28 to 507 of the family's 1533-position model. The record is from RNAcentral.
GAUGAACGCUGGCGGCGUGCCUAAUACAUGCAAGUCGAGCGAACGGACGAGAAGCUUGCUUUUCUGAUGUUAGCGGCGGACGGGUGAGUAACACGUGGAUAACCUACAUAUAAGACUGGGAUAACUUCGGGAAACCGGAGCUAAUACCGGAUAAUAUUUUGAACCGCAUGGUUCAAAAGUGAAAGACGGUCUUGCUGUCACUUAUAGAUGGAUCCGCGCUGCAUUAGCUAGUUGGUAAGGUAACGGCUUACCAAGGCAACGAUGCAUAGCCGACCUGAGAGGGUGAUCGGCCACACUGGAACUGAGACACGGUCCAGACUCCUACGGGAGGCAGCAGUAGGGAAUCUUCCGCAAUGGGCGAAAGCCUGACGGAGCAACGCCGCGUGAGUGAUGAAGGUCUUCGGAUCGUAAAACUCUGUUAUUAGGGAAGAACAUAUGUGUAAGUAACUGUGCACAUCUUGACGGUACCUAAUCAGAAAGCCACGGCUAACUACGUG